AAAAGAAUGGCUUCAGUGUGUGUAACAUUCAGAUCAUUGAUAUAAAAUCUCACUGAAAUCCGCUAAGAUAAGGUAUAUUAUCAUCAUAAGCCACUAUUAGACAAAAAAUUAACAGAAAAUAAUUAUCAUUGAUAUUGGAAAAUUGUGUGCUCAGACAGCCAAGGGGUUGUAAUCAGAUUCUGGGUGAAGAUUCCCAGAUCAGAAACUCUAGUCCACAUAAGUAUCAUCACCGCACA
RNAcentral lists this long non-coding RNA (236 nucleotides) under Medicago truncatula (barrel medic). RNAcentral's name for it is "lncRNA gene22575". The record is from RNAcentral. Lineage: Eukaryota; Viridiplantae; Streptophyta; Magnoliopsida; Fabales; Fabaceae.